UACGUAGGGUGCAAGCGUUAAUCGGAAUUACUGGGCGUAAAGCGUGCGCAGGCGGUUAUGUAAGACAGAUGUGAAAUCCCCGGGCUCAACCUGGGAACUGCAUUUGUGACUGCAUAGCUUGAGUGCGGCAGAGGGGGAUGGAACUCCGCGUGUAGCAGUGAAAUGCGUAGAUAUGCGGAGGAACACCGAUGGCGAAGGCAAUCCCCUGGGCCUGCACUGACGCUCAUGCACGAAAGCGUGGGGAGCAAACAGG
Molecule: ribosomal RNA, 253 nt
Filed under: uncultured bacterium
Lineage: Bacteria
Description: partial 16S ribosomal RNA
Rfam family: Bacterial small subunit ribosomal RNA
Source: RNAcentral